This 600-nucleotide ribosomal RNA is filed under the name uncultured archaeon. Its description in RNAcentral is "bacterial SSU rRNA". It matches the Rfam family "Archaeal small subunit ribosomal RNA", at positions 156 to 761 of the family's 1478-position model. The record is from RNAcentral.
AUAGACGAUGAGCGCUGGAAUGCCUUGUCGUUCAAAUCUCCGGAGCCUUAGGAUGGCACUGCGACCUAUCAGGUUGUAGGGAGGGUAACGGCCUCCCUAGCCUACAACGGGUACGGGCGUUGAGAGACGUCGCCCGGAGAUGAAAUCUGAGACACGAUUUCAGGCCCUACGGGGCGCAGCAGGCGCGAAAACUGCACAAUGCUGGAAACAGCGAUGCGGGGAUUCCAAGUGCCAGCACUGAGUGUUGGCUGUUCCAUUGUCUAAAAAACAUAGGAAGUAAGGGCUGGGUAAGACGGGUGCCAGCCGCCGCGGUAAUACCUGCAGCCCGAGUGGUGGCCGUUAUUAUUGGGCCUAAAACGUCCGUAGCCGGUUUCGUAGAUGCCUGUGUAAAUCGAACGGCUUAACCGUUCGAAUUGCGGGUAGACCGCGAGACUUGGGACCGGGAGAGUCACGAAGUACUCCGGGGGUAGAGGUGAAAUUCUGUAAUCCUCGGGGGACUACCGGUGGCGAAGGCGUCGUGAUAGAACGGCUCCGACGUGAGGGACGAAGGCCCUGGAGCGCAAACCGGAUUAGAUACCCAGUAGUCCAGGUGUAAACGCU